Molecule: ribosomal RNA, 789 nt
Filed under: Triticum aestivum (bread wheat)
Lineage: Eukaryota; Viridiplantae; Streptophyta; Magnoliopsida; Poales; Poaceae
Description: partial small subunit ribosomal RNA
Source: RNAcentral
AUGUUGUGGCGCACAAUUCGCAGUAUGGAGGUGAUGGCGCAUUCUUCGAAUUUCCUUCUUCCGAAACUGCAUCAGCCUGCCAAGGCUCCAGCAAACAACUAUACUCUGGUUGUUCUUAACCAGCAGCUUCCACGGUUCAUGCCUCGCCUCUGGGCUCAAGCAAAGAUGAGAAUAUGUGCUGAUGGUGGAGCCAAUCGUAUUUUUGACGAGAUGUCUCAAAUGACAAAUGACCUGGACAGAAAUAGGUAUAUUCCAGAAAUAAUUGAAGGGGACAUGGAUUCUAUAAGGCCAGAAGUGAAAAGAUAUUACUCUAGUCAGGGAUCCAAAAUUUCUGAUAAAUCACAUAACCAAGAGACAACAGAUCUGCACAAGUGUAUUUCCAGUAUCCGCCAUCGCACACCUAAUCAUGAAAAGCCUAAUCUUUGUGUUCUUGUUACUGGAGCACUUGGAAGGUUUGAUCAUGAGGCUGCAAAUAUCAAUGUUCUCUAUGCGUUCUCGGACAUGCGGAUUGUCCUUCUGUCCGAUGAUUGCUUGAUCCAACUUCUUCCCAAAACGCAUCACCAUGAGAUCUAUAUUGAGUCGUCUGUAGAAGGACCACAUUGUGGAAUUUUUCCUAUUGGAGCACCAUCUACAAGCACUACAACCACUGGCCUCAAGUGGAACCUGAGUGAUGCAGAGAUGAGAUUUGGGAGCAUGAUAAGCACAUCCAACAUUGUGGAUUCAGAUAAAGUUACUGUGCAGUCCGAUGCAGAUCUUCUGUGGACAAUUUCUCUUCGAAAUCUGACCUGA